GCCCCCGUGGCGGAAUUGGUAGACGCGCGUGAUUCAAAAUCACGUUUCUUCGGGAGUGCCCGUUCGAGUCGGGCCGGGGGCACCA
Molecule: transfer RNA, 85 nt
Filed under: Rhodospirillaceae bacterium
Lineage: Bacteria; Pseudomonadati; Pseudomonadota; Alphaproteobacteria; Rhodospirillales; Rhodospirillaceae
Also listed under: 4 other names
Description: tRNA-Leu
Source: RNAcentral